UUUCCGUAGGUGAACCUGCGGAAGGAUCAUUAUCGAGACUACCACGCCUGAUGCUGGCCGCGAGGCAUGUGCUCGGCGUCUCGUCCCACACCUCUGUGCACCUCCGAGGGGGCGUCAGCCGCCUCGCUUCAUACACAUCGCAAAGUCUAGUCGAAUGUAUAACUUAAACAAAUACAACUUUCAACAACGGAUCUCUUGGUUCGGGCAUCGAUGAAGAACGCAGC
RNAcentral lists this unclassified non-coding RNA (224 nucleotides) under uncultured fungus. RNAcentral's name for it is "sequence contains ITS1, 5.8S rRNA gene". The stretch from base 176 to 224 matches the Rfam family "5.8S ribosomal RNA", at positions 1 to 49 of the family's 154-position model. The record is from RNAcentral. Lineage: Eukaryota; Fungi.